RNAcentral lists this ribosomal RNA (324 nucleotides) under uncultured eukaryote. RNAcentral's name for it is "partial 18S ribosomal RNA". It matches the Rfam family "Eukaryotic small subunit ribosomal RNA", at positions 1470 to 1796 of the family's 1831-position model. The record is from RNAcentral.
CCCUUAGAUGCUCUGGGCCGCACGCGCGCUACACUGGUCGAUGCAACGAGCUUCUUUCCUUGGCCGACAGGCCUGGGCAAUCUUUGAACAUCGAUCGUGAUCGGGAUAGAUUCUUGUAAUUUUUGAUCUUAAACGAGGAAUUCCUAGUAAACGCAAGUCAUCAGCUUGCAUUGAUUACGUCCCUGCCCUUUGUACACACCGCCCGUCGCACCUACCGAUUGAAUGGUCCGGUGAAAUCUCCGGACUGGCGUGAGUCGGAGCAAUCUGACAAACGCCGGAAAGUUGAUUAAACCUUACCAUUUAGAGGAAGGUGAAGUCGUAACA